GGUGCAGCAGGCGCGAAAACUUUACAAUGCGGGAAACCGUGAUAAGGGGACACCGAGUGCCAGCAUCAUAUGCUGGCUGUCCGGGUGUGUAAAAUACACCCGUUAGCAAGGGCCGGGCAAGACCGGUGCCAGCCGCCGCGGUAACACCGGCGGCCCGAGUGGUGAUCGUGAUUAUUGGGUCUAAAGGGUCCGUAGCCGGUUUGGUCAGUCCUCCGGGAAAUCUGACGGCUCAACCGUUAGGCUUUCGGGGGAUACUGCCAGGCUUGGAACCGGGAGAGGUAAGAGGUACUACAGGAGUAGGAGUGAAAUCUUGUAAUCCCUGUGAGACCACCUGUGGCGAAGGCGUCUUACCAGAACGGGUUCGACGGUGAGGGACGAAAGCUGGGGGCACGAACCGGAUUAGAUACCCGGGUAGUCCCAGCUGUAAACGAUGCUCGCUAGGUGUCAGGCAUGGCGCGACCGUGUCUGGUGCCGCAGGGAAGCCGUGAAGCGAGCCACCUGGGAAGUACGGCCGCAAGGCUGAAACUUAAAGGAAUUGGCGGGGGAGCAC
This 550-nucleotide ribosomal RNA is filed under the name uncultured archaeon. RNAcentral describes it as "bacterial SSU rRNA". It matches the Rfam family "Archaeal small subunit ribosomal RNA", at positions 329 to 879 of the family's 1478-position model. The record is from RNAcentral.